Molecule: ribosomal RNA, 1520 nt
Filed under: uncultured prokaryote
Description: partial 16S ribosomal RNA
Rfam family: Bacterial small subunit ribosomal RNA
Source: RNAcentral
AUGGUUUGAUCAUGGCUCAGAUUGAACGCUGGCGGUAUGCUUAACACAUGCAAGUCGAACGGAAGCGAUGGUAGCUUGCUACCAGGCGUCAAGUGGCGGACGGGUGAGUAACGCGUAGGAAUCUGCCCAGUAGUAGCUGCCCAGUAGUGGGGGACAACCAGGGGAAACCCUGGCUAAUACCGCAUACACUCUACGGAGAAAAGGAGGCCUCUUCUUGAAAGCUUUCGCUAUUGGAUGAGCCUGCGUGAGAUUAGCUAGUUGGUAGGGUAAAGGCCUACCAAGGCGACGAUCUCUAGCUGGUCUGAGAGGACGAUCAGCCACACUGGGACUGAGACACGGCCCAGACUCCUACGGGAGGCAGCAGUGGGGAAUAUUGGACAAUGGGCGCAAGCCUGAUCCAGCAAUACCGCGUGUGUGAAGAAGGCCCUAGGGUUGUAAAGCACUUUCAGCAGUGAAGAAAUGCUUAAGUGUUAUAACCUUGAGUCUUGACGUUAACUGCACAAGAAGCACCGGCUAACUCCGUGCCAGCAGCCGCGGUAAUACUGAGGGUGCAAGCGUUAAUCGGAAUUACUGGGCGUAAAGCGAGUGUAGGCGGCUGCGUAAGUCGGAUGUGAAAGCCCUGGGCUUAACCUGGGAAUUGCAUUCGAAACUGUGCAGCUAGAGUUUGGUAGAGGAAAGUGGAAUUCCGGGUGUAGCGGUGAAAUGCGUAGAUAUCCGGAGGAACAUCAGUGGCGAAGGCGGCUUACUGGACCAAAACUGACACUGAGGCUCGAAAGCGUGGGGAGCAAACAGGAUUAGAUACCCUGGUAGUCCACGCCCUAAACGAUGUCAACUAGCUGUUGGUCCUAUUAAAAGGAUUAGUGGCGAAGCUAACGCGUUAAGUUGACCGCCUGGGGAGUACGGCCGCAAGGUUAAAACUCAAAUGAAUUGACGGGGGCCCACACAAGCGGUGGAGCAUGUGGUUUAAUUCGACGCAACGCGAAGAACCUUACCACCCCUUGACAUCCUCAGAACUUGUUAGAAAUAACUUGGUGCCUUCGGGAUUUGAGUGACAGGUGCUGCAUGGCUGUCGUCAGCUCGUGUCGUGAGAUGUUGGGUUAAGUCCCGUAACGAGCGCAACCCUUGUCCUUAUUUGCCAGCACGUAAUGGUGGGAACUCUAAGGAGACUGCCGGUGACAAACCGGAGGAAGGUGGGGACGACGUCAAGUCAUCAUGGCCCUUACGGGGUGGGCUACACACGUGCUACAAUGGUCGGUACAGAGGGUUGCAAUGUCGCGAGGCGGAGCUAAUCUCAGAAAGCCGAUCGUAGUCCGGAUUGCAGUCUGCAACUCGACUGCAUGAAGUUGGAAUCGCGAUUACUCGCGAAUCAGAAUGUCGCGGUGAAUACGUUCCCGGGCCUUGUACGAAACCGCCCGUCACACCAUGGGAGUGGGUUGCUCCAGAAGUGGUUAGUCUAACCUUCGGGAGGACGAUCACCACGGUGUGAUUCAUGACUGGGGUGAAGUCGUAACAAGGUAACC